GUGGGAAGACGCCUGAAGGAAACGCACUGCUGAAGUGGCACUAGACCCAUGUGCCACUCCCUCAGCGAAUAUUCACUAAGCACCUGCUGCAUGCCAGGCCCUGGGAAUACAGCAGCACUGACGGCAUUCCCAGACUGCCCUCCAGGAACUUCUACUCUCCACAUCCAGAAAUCUGGAAUCAUCACAAAUUCCUUGCCACCUCCGUUAUCCAGUCUGCCUUUGAGAACUUUCCAUCAUCAUACAGCGAGAGGCCGUGGCCACCACCUCCCAUCUCUAGUCACAGACUCCUUAUGGCAGCCCCUUGGUCCA
RNAcentral lists this long non-coding RNA (309 nucleotides) under Pan troglodytes (chimpanzee). Its description in RNAcentral is "long non-coding RNA NONPTRT008561". Lineage: Eukaryota; Metazoa; Chordata; Mammalia; Primates; Hominidae. The record is from RNAcentral.